RNAcentral lists this ribosomal RNA (421 nucleotides) under uncultured bacterium. Its description in RNAcentral is "bacterial SSU rRNA". It matches the Rfam family "Bacterial small subunit ribosomal RNA", at positions 355 to 774 of the family's 1533-position model. The record is from RNAcentral.
UAAGGAAUAUUGGUCAAUGGACGCAAGUCUGAACCAGCCAUGCCGCGUGAAGGAUGAAGGUCCUCUGGAUUGUAAACUUCUUUUAUCUGGGACGAAAACGGGAUUUUUAUCUCAAUUGACGGUACCAGAGGAAUAAGCACCGGCUAACUCCGUGCCAGCAGCCGCGGUAAUACGGAGGGUGCGAGCGUUAUCCGGAUUUACUGGGUUUAAAGGGUGCGUAGGUGGGCUUAUAAGUCAGUGGUGAAAUCUCCGAGCUUAACUUGGAAGCUUCCGUUGAUACUAUAGGUCUUGAAUUAUCUGGAGGUCAGCGCAAUAUGUCAUGUAGCGGUGAAAUGCUUAGAUAUGACAUAGAACACCAAUUGCGAAGGCAGCUUACUACAUAUAAAUUGACGCUGAGGCACGAAAGCGUGGGGAUCAAACA